RNAcentral lists this ribosomal RNA (446 nucleotides) under uncultured bacterium. RNAcentral describes it as "SSU rRNA". It matches the Rfam family "Bacterial small subunit ribosomal RNA", at positions 26 to 518 of the family's 1533-position model. The record is from RNAcentral.
AGAACGAACGCUGGCGGCAGGCCUAACACAUGCAAGUCGAACGCGACCUUCGGGUCGAGUGGCGCACGGGUGAGUAACGCGUGGGAAUCUGCCCUGUGGUACGGAAUAACAUCGGGAAACUGGUGCUAAUACCGUAUAUCCCCUGAGGGGGAAAGAUUUAUCGCCAUGGGAGGAGCCCGCGUAGGAUUAGCUAGUUGGUGAGGUAACGGCUCACCAAGGCGACGAUCCUUAGCUGGUCUGAGAGGAUGAUCAGCCACACUGGGACUGAGACACGGCCCAGACUCCUACGGGAGGCAGCAGUGGGGAAUAUUGGACAAUGGGGGAAACCCUGAUCCAGCCAUGCCGCGUGUGUGAUGAAGGCCUUCGGGUUGUAAAGCACUUUCGCACGUGACGAUGAUGACGGUAACGUGAGAAGAAGCCCCGGCUAACUUCGUGCCAGCAGCCGC